RNAcentral lists this ribosomal RNA (380 nucleotides) under uncultured bacterium. RNAcentral's name for it is "bacterial SSU rRNA". It matches the Rfam family "Bacterial small subunit ribosomal RNA", at positions 28 to 418 of the family's 1533-position model. The record is from RNAcentral.
GAUUAACGCUGGCGGCGUGCCUAACACAUGCAAGUCGAACGAGGUAGCAAUACCUAGUGGCAGACGGGUGAGUAACGCGUGGUCAACCUACCCUAGAGUGGGGAGUAACUAGCCGAAAGGUUAGCUAAUACCGCAUGAAACGUGCCGGGGCGAUCUCGGAAUGUUGAAAGGAGCAAUCCGCUCAAGGACGGGACCGCGUCCCAUUAGCUAGUUGGUGGGGUAACGGCCUACCAAGGCACCGAGGGUAGCUGGUUUGAGAGAGCGACCAGCCACACUGGGACUGAGAAACGGCCCAGACUCCUACGGGAGGCAGCAGUGAGGAAUUUUCCGCAAUGGGCGAAAGCCUGACGGAGCGACGCCGCGUGUGGGAAGAAGGCCUU